GGGCUUGGGGACACCAUGGACACCUUGGAGAAGGUUUUGGGGACACCUGGGACACCUUGGAGAGGGUUUGGAGCAACCUGGACUCAUGGAAAACAUCCACGGGAUGGGACUGGAUGGUCCUGGAGGACUUUCCCAGACCAGUGACAAAACUUCUUCCCUGAUCUCCCCAACGUUUCUUUUCCCCUUCCAGGACCCGUUUUUGGGAGCAAGGACAACUUCCUGGGGCUGGGAGUGUUUGUGGACACGUAUCCCAACGAGGAGAAGCAGCAGGAGGCUCAGAAGAGGAGGUACAGCCCUGGAAACCAGGUACUGCCUCCUGCUGUCCCACCUGGAGCUCCCCGUUCCCACCUCCAGGAACCCGGGAGAGGCUGCAUGGACGUGGAGUGGGGGCUCGGUGCCGGAUCGGUGGGACACGAUCCUGAGGGAUGGACCUUGGCGUCAUCCCGGUGGUG
This 452-nucleotide long non-coding RNA is filed under the name Junco hyemalis (dark-eyed junco). RNAcentral's name for it is "lncRNA (ENSJHYG00000000807.1)". The record is from RNAcentral. Lineage: Eukaryota; Metazoa; Chordata; Aves; Passeriformes; Passerellidae.